GUUUUUAGCUGUUCUCCAUGGCAGCUGCGGCAGCCGGGACCCUGGGAAGACUGACCGUACAGGGACAGGGAAAACCUCCCUACUUUGGCUGGAACAUUGGUGGACGUAGCCCAUCAAAGGCAAGUCCAUAACAAAGGAAAAGGCAAAGAAAAUAAAGCUGC
Molecule: long non-coding RNA, 161 nt
Organism: Mauremys reevesii (Reeves's turtle)
Lineage: Eukaryota; Metazoa; Chordata; Testudines; Geoemydidae
Exons: 3
Source: RefSeq, a predicted model, not a curated record